UACGUAGGUGGCAAGCGUUAUCCGGAAUUAUUGGGCGUAAAGAGCGCGCAGGUGGUUAAUUAAGUCUGAUGUGAAAGCCCACGGCUUAACCGUGGAGGGUCAUUGGAAACUGGUUGACUUGAGUGCAGAAGAGGGAAGUGGAAUUCCAUGUGUAGCGGUGAAAUGCGUAGAGAUAUGGAGGAACACCAGUGGCGAAGGCGGCUUCCUGGUCCUCAACUGACACUGAGGCGCGAAAGCGUGGGGAGCAAACAGG
Molecule: ribosomal RNA, 253 nt
Filed under: uncultured bacterium
Lineage: Bacteria
Description: partial 16S ribosomal RNA
Rfam family: Bacterial small subunit ribosomal RNA
Source: RNAcentral